GUGGGGAAUAUUGGGCAAUGGGCGCAAGCCUGACCCAGCAACGCCGCGUGAAGGAAGAAGGCUUUCGGGUUGUAAACUUCUUUUGUCGGGGACGAAACAAAUGACGGUACCCGACGAAUAAGCCACGGCUAACUACGUGCCAGCAGCCGCGGUAAUACGUAGGUGGCAAGCGUUAUCCGGAUUUACUGGGUGUAAAGGGCGUGUAGGCGGGAUUGCAAGUCAGAUGUGAAAACUGGGGGCUCAACCUCCAGCCUGCAUUUGAAACUGUAGUUCUUGAGUGCUGGAGAGGCAAUCGGAAUUCCGUGUGUAGCGGUGAAAUGCGUAGAUAUACGGAGGAACACCAGUGGCGAAGGCGGAUUGCUGGACAGUAACUGACGCUGAGGCGCGAAAGCGUGGGGAGCAAACAGGAUUAGAAACCCCAGUAGUCC
Molecule: ribosomal RNA, 428 nt
Filed under: uncultured bacterium
Lineage: Bacteria
Description: bacterial SSU rRNA
Rfam family: Bacterial small subunit ribosomal RNA
Source: RNAcentral